ACAGGAUGUCAAUCGAUUGAUGUUAAUCCCUUUUACAUUAUGCUUUUCCAAUUUUUCACGUUUUGGCUACAAGCAAUCGAUGAAUUCAGGCAAUCAAUCAAUUGACAUAGUUCAACUUUUCAAAAAAAAUUCAAAAUUUCAUGCAUGCAAUCGAUUGACAUAGUUCAACUUUCCAAAAAAAAAAAAUUGCAUGUAUGCAAUUGAUUGACACAGAAUAUCAAU
This 222-nucleotide long non-coding RNA is filed under the name Lathyrus oleraceus (garden pea). Its description in RNAcentral is "Pisum sativum (pea) long non-coding RNA (PSAT_LNC032349)". The record is from RNAcentral. Lineage: Eukaryota; Viridiplantae; Streptophyta; Magnoliopsida; Fabales; Fabaceae.